Lolium perenne is the source of this 1082-nucleotide long non-coding RNA. RefSeq lists it as uncharacterized. The record is from RefSeq and is a predicted model, not a curated record. NCBI's taxonomy places the organism in Eukaryota, Viridiplantae, Streptophyta, Magnoliopsida, Poales, Poaceae.
UCUUUAUAAGGAGCUUGGCCGGCCACACCUCCUCUCCUUUGCCUCAUUUCUUUUCACUCCCUACUAUUUCCUCCACUCCCUCACACUCUCCUCCUCCACUUCCCCACGAAAAUGGUGCUCCCCUUGCUCCCAUGGCCGGCCAUGGCCAUGGCAAGCCACCAAGAUGAAGCUCUCCCUCUCCCUCAAGCUCCUCCUCACCAUGAGAGCCUCCCUCUCCUUCUUCUCCCCAACCCUAGAUGGUUUUCUCUCCUCUUCUUCUUCCUCCCUUGCUAAGAUUGGAUCUUGAUGCAGGUGCAUGUUGGUCCAAGCAUGGAGAAGCUUGAGCUAUCCUCAGAUCUGAAGUUCUUGAGCAAAAUCCAAAUCGAGUGAUUCAAAGUUCCGCAGAUAGGCAUUGAAAAGAUCUACAACUUGGCGUUGGUAUCAUCCUCAAAUUCGUUACGGAUUUUGCAAGAUCAAGAUCUGGUCAGAUCUGACUUUGUCGAAUUAAACCUGGAGCUUGGAAACGAAUUUUUGAAUGAAACCAACUGGGGGAUAUUUGGUUGAUACCCUGGUGAUAAACGAGAGAGGCAAUUGCUAAGUUAUGAUACUCUCAUACCUUUACUAGAUGCGAACGAUUCCGGAGAAGAAGAAGAAGAAGUGGUUCGGACAAGGAUUUUAUUUAUAUUGACGGGAUUCUUAUAUUGAUGAAGUUGAAGAAGUCCAGGGACAAAUAAGCCAAGGCAAGCCAUCUUUUGAUCUCUGAUAUGAUGUCUCUUUGGAUGUCAUCUUGUGCUAUCAAUAGCAUCUUGGUUCUAUGUGUGAUGAUCUCCAUAUUGUUGUCAUCUAUGCUUGGAUGCAAGCAUGGUACCUCUAGUAGUUUUAUCUUGUCAAGGUCUUGGUAAUUGGUUGGGUGUAUGGUAUCAUGGCCAUUGCUAUCCAACUUGCUUUCUAUAUUUAGCUUGAAUAUGUUCCACCUCGGGACAAGAUUCAUACUACACCCCCUUCUAGUGUAGAUGUAUCAAUACCAUGUUUUUGGUGUAUUCUCAAAUUGUGAUGAGUAUGCCUGUUUUCCCUUAAUGGUGUUGGUGUUGGUCAAUUCUCAU